AGAGCGAACGCUGGCGGCAGGCUUAACACAUGCAAGUCGAGCGGGCGUAGCAAUACGUCAGCGGCAGACGGGUGAGUAACGCGUGGGAACGUACCUUUUGGUUCGGAACAACACAGGGAAACUUGUGCUAAUACCGGAUAAGCCCUUACGGGGAAAGAUUUAUCGCCGAAAGAUCGGCCCGCGUCUGAUUAGCUAGUUGGUGAGGUAAUGGCUCACCAAGGCGACGAUCAGUAGCUGGUCUGAGAGGAUGAUCAGCCACAUUGGGACUGAGACACGGCCCAAACUCCUACGGGAGGCAGCAGUGGGGAAUAUUGGACAAUGGGCGCAAGCCUGAUCCAGCCAUGCCGCGUGAGUGAUGAAGGCCCUAGGUUGUAAAGCUCUUUUGUGCGGGAAGAUAAUGACGGUACCGCAAGAAUAAGCCCGGCUAACUUCGCGCCAGCAGCCGC
This 446-nucleotide ribosomal RNA is filed under the name uncultured bacterium. RNAcentral's name for it is "SSU rRNA". It matches the Rfam family "Bacterial small subunit ribosomal RNA", at positions 26 to 518 of the family's 1533-position model. The record is from RNAcentral.